CUCAGUUCCUCUCUCGGGCCACACACGCCUCUCUCUCUCUCUCUCUGUGUGUCACGUCGGAGAACUCGAGUUGCGCCAGUUGACUUUUGAACCCAGAUUUCGUACCAUCGGACGACCCUGUCGCUAGAGCUCUCAGCUCUUCGCCAUGAAAACUUCCAAAUGGAAUCCACCAUUUCUUUAUCGUCUUCCUCUCUGCUCCUACCUUCGCCUUCCCUUGCUCCAAAUCCCAAGCUUCAUUUUUGCUCCGGCACCUCCACCAUCCGAGCCUCAAAUCCUGAACCUUCCUCCUUCCUUCUCUUUCCUGCCAAAACCGGCCAAUCCGAUCUCAAAGCUCGAACCAUCAGCCGCAAGACGACAGCUUCGUCCUCGUAGACGUUCCUCACUUGACCGAUUUCCUCCCAAACUUGCCGUCAUAUCUGAAUCCAUUGCAACAGAGCCAAGCUGUUUUCUCGAAUUUCUUUGGACACCAAAACGCUCUGGUCCCAGAUAUUGUGGGCUUCCAAUCUAUUUUGGAUACCUCAAUCGAUUUUGGCACCAAUUUGAUUUGGGCACCCCUACAUCAUCAAUGUCACUGACAUGCGCUGAUAACCAACUCGAGAGGUCGGCAACAGCGAAACCACCUUAUUUUAUAUUUUAUUCAAAGUGAUGCGGGAGCCAAGUUCAUAUUUUAUUCAAGAAGUUUUUCCAGUUACUAAACACUAUAUAAUUAAGAGGUUUGUUCUUCAGGGUGUAAGAAAUGCAAUUCACAUAUACAGUUUCAGGUUAUUGUCUUUUGAAUCUCUUCAUGCCAUGAUGUUUGAUGUAUUAACUGUCAUAACUCUUGUCUUUUAGAAUUCUUAGAUGCAUUAAUUUGGUUCUUUGAAUGAUUCACGUAUCAAUGGCUCUAUGAAAAGAGCCAAGUUGUUAGCUUUGAAAGAUAAGUUGAUUGUGAAAUUUCUUGAUGGUUUCUUCUCGUGUGUGAAGCAUGGGUUGACUUGGAGUGAUUCCAAGGCACCUUUGGUGUGUUGUGGAAAGUUUCUGACUGUGAAGCUGGUAGUUACUAUCCUUUCCUAUGAUUUAUUCCUUUUUUACUACAUCUUAUCUGUGUACUUUGUUGAUAGAGGGUCUAAGCCUGUCCUUUAAGGCACAAGGCGUUCAGUUCUUGAGUUGAGGCUAAUUUGUCGUGCUUGAUAUAUGCAUUGAUGACAUUAUGACAAAUAACAUUCAUACUUCACAUUAGUCUUUUGUUUUUUCCCCUAAUGUCAUCUUGUGUACAAGGCUAUGUGGCUUCCUUGGUGCCCUCAUGUUUCAAACUGGUGUAGCUGCAACAUAUCAUAAUUAAUGUUGUUCAUAGGGAAUUGAGCAGGGCAUGGUGACACCAUCUCUUUUAGUCCAAGUGACGGAAAUGAAAAGCAUGGACAUGGGUUUGCAAAGAAAUCUGUUCCUUUGUUGACUGGGACAGCAUAUUGCAUUUCAUCGUGCAGCAUGAUAUUGCUGAAUAAAGUUGUUCUAUCGAGUUACAACUUCAAUGCAGGAGUUUCAUUUAUGUUUUAUCAAGUAUGUCACCUACUUUACCGCUCACUUAGUUCCUUUUCAACCACAUUGAAUCAUGUGACAUCUGUCUUAUUAUGAGUUUUACGAUUAAAGUACCAUCUUUGUUACGCGUCCUUCUGUUGUGUGUAUUUUCUAGGUAGGCUGAUAGUUUAGCGUUAUCUCUUUUUUGAUGAUCAUUAUGCAAAUCCACAAAGUUAGCCAACCACAAUGGAAUCAGAUUCCAUAUGAUUUCUGCAGAAUUUGGUAAGUAAUGUAAUUGUUGUAUUCUUGGGCUUCUCUAGAGUUGUUACUGUGGAAAAACUCAAUUGGAAACUGAUUAAGGUCUGGAUCCCUGUUAAUGUAAUCUUCAUCGACAUAUGCUUGUAUCAGGCAUGUAUAGGUAAGUGGUGUGCUUCAUUGUUUGCAUUUUAGGUUAUCUUUUUCAUUUGGAGCUUAUUAUCUGUUCAUGCCUGGAAAUAAAAAGAAAUAGAAGAUGACAAAUUCUGAAGAGAAUAUUGCUAAUAAGAUCCACAGUAUAUGUUCAUUUGAUUUGUGCAUUAAUAUUCCUUAUUUUGUGCAUAUUGCAGAUCCUGAUUUCCUAUUUUAUGAAGACAUCGCAUCAUGAAGAGUAUCUCUGUGUCAAGGUGCGAUGUUGGGAGAUACAACAGAGUGGAGGAAAUGUUGAACACUGGAAUAGUGCCAAAGUAACCCUAUGCAAUCAUUGGGAGAUCAAGCUUGGAACACCCAACAAAUUGUUUUCUUCUUUAUCAUCAUGUAAAGCUUAUGAAACUUGAAAGCUUGUUAAGCUAAUGAAAUAGAUUAAUGCUUUAUGAAAUUGUCUUUGUUGGAU
Rosa rugosa (rugosa rose) is the source of this 2362-nucleotide long non-coding RNA. RefSeq lists it as uncharacterized. The transcript is spliced from 4 exons. NCBI's taxonomy places the organism in Eukaryota, Viridiplantae, Streptophyta, Magnoliopsida, Rosales, Rosaceae. The record is from RefSeq and is a predicted model, not a curated record.